This 76-nucleotide transfer RNA is filed under the name Candidatus Bathyarchaeota archaeon. Its description in RNAcentral is "tRNA-Met". The record is from RNAcentral. Lineage: Archaea; Thermoproteati; Candidatus Bathyarchaeota.
AGCGGGGUGGGGUAGCCAGGAUUAACCCGCUGGGCUCAUACUGCCUCGACCGGUUGUUCAAAUCAACCCCCCGCUA